CAGAGGCUACAUACCCCCGCGGUGCUUGAUAGCUGGUUGUGUUUACCACCGAUCUUAGUCGGAAGAGCAUAAUUGCUACGAAAUUAUUAAAGGCAAAGCUUUAAUAAUUUUAUUCUAUCUAUCAAUAAUUAAGAUUCUUUAUAGGCUUAACACCAGCCACCUAAUCACGUUACUGUGUAAAAUCUAUUCAUCUAAUAAUUAUAACUCCUUGGUAAAACAAAACACAAUAUUCAUCUCUAAUGAAAUAAAUAUAAUGUUAUAACUAGUAUUAAAAUCUCACCCUCAUAUAAAAUAUAUAAACAAAUAUAUUUAAAUAUUCAACACACCAUAUUCAAAUAAGGAACUCGGCAAACACUUAUUCAGCCUGUUUAACAAAAACACCGCCUGUUGAAAAUAUAACAGGUCCAUCCUGCCCAGUGAAGUCUAUUUCAACGGCCGCGGUACC
This 445-nucleotide ribosomal RNA is filed under the name Hediste diversicolor. RNAcentral's name for it is "partial 16S ribosomal RNA". The record is from RNAcentral. Lineage: Eukaryota; Metazoa; Annelida; Polychaeta; Phyllodocida; Nereididae.